GCAUUAAAUCAUAUAUCCUUCAAUGGCCUCUACAAAAUUUUCCCUUCAAUCUGUUUUGCUACUUUGCUUGAUUUUGUUUUCCCUACUGGCAUUUCAUCAUUGUGAUGCAAGUAGAAACAUUAAAACAGAAGGUAAAAGUGAUGCUUGCCUCCAAAUUCCGGAUAAGCCAGGCCAAUGGUGUUGUGUAAUAUUAUUUCAACCUGAAAAAUGUUUUCCUUCUAUUGAUGCGUGUGAAGCAAUAUGUCAGAAGUGACAGAUUUUAAGAACAAUGAUGUCAAUUAAUUCUAGCACGUAUUAUGAUUUAUUUCAAUAAGUACUUAUGAGUUUGAGUUUUAUAGUGCUAUUUAACUUGAUGUAAAAGUGAAAUAAAAAAAAUUGGCAUUUUCAUUUAUAAAAUUCAAUUAGAAUUAUCA
Capsicum annuum is the source of this 413-nucleotide long non-coding RNA. RefSeq lists it as uncharacterized. The record is from RefSeq and is a predicted model, not a curated record. The transcript is spliced from 2 exons. Lineage: Eukaryota; Viridiplantae; Streptophyta; Magnoliopsida; Solanales; Solanaceae.